Molecule: ribosomal RNA, 253 nt
Filed under: uncultured bacterium
Lineage: Bacteria
Description: partial 16S ribosomal RNA
Rfam family: Bacterial small subunit ribosomal RNA
Source: RNAcentral
CACGUAGGGCGCAAGCGUUGUCCGGAAUUAUUGGGCGUAAAGAGCUCGUAGGCGGUCUGUUGCGUCCGCUGUGAAAACCCGGGGCUUAACCCCUGGCUUGCAGUGGGUACGGGCAGACUAGAGUGCGGUAGGGGUGACUGGAAUUCCUGGUGUAGCGGUGGAAUGCGCAGAUAUCAGGAGGAACACCGAUGGCGAAGGCAGGUCACUGGGCCGCAACUGACGCUGAGGAGCGAAAGCAUGGGGAGCGAACAGG